This is a long non-coding RNA of Myotis lucifugus (little brown bat), 4612 nucleotides long. RefSeq lists it as uncharacterized. Lineage: Eukaryota; Metazoa; Chordata; Mammalia; Chiroptera; Vespertilionidae. The record is from RefSeq and is a predicted model, not a curated record. The transcript has 2 exons.
AGAAGGCAGCCAAUCAAUGAUUCUCUCUCAUCAUUGAUGUUUCUAUCUCUCUCCCUCUAUCUGAAAUCAAUAAAAAUAUAUUUGGGGAAAAAUAUAUUUAAGAAAUAGUAAUUGAAUGUUUAGCAUUUGCUAUGCACUAGAUACCAUACUGAUAACUUUAUAUGCAUUGUUCCUUCUACUCUAUAAUUUUUGAGGGCUGUCAUAUCUCCAUGUAAAAAAGAAACUGGAAUUCAGAGAGCAUGAGCGACUUGCUCAUGGUUACACAGAUUGGUAAAGACCGAAUCCAUCUCUAGACCUGAGUGUUGAGCAUGGAAUGUGCUAGUGCCAUACAGCUAAUGGGGAGGAAAAGCAGGGCCUUGUGAACAGAGUCUUGGGCAAGAAGGAUGAAAGGUCUGAGUUUGAGUUCUAAGUCUGCUGCUGUUCAUCUGGGCAGUCAUGGGCGAAUCUGUUAACCUUUCAUGCUGUUGGUUCCUUAUUAUAAAAUGAGGCUGGUACCAUUUGGCCUGAUAGCUCACAGGAGAGGACCCCCAAAACUGGAGAGCUCCAUACAAAGGCAAGGCACCGUUCUUCAUGUUAGAAUUAGAACCCCAGCCCUAUGUCAUGACACCUCACAGCAGUGCCCAGAAGUUCUGGUAUCUCCCCUUGCUCCCAUCCUCCAGCCACAGCUGCCGGAGCAACUUGGUUAGGAAGAGAUUUGUUCAUGGAGAAUGUACCCUACAAGUAUCUCCCUUUCCUUAUCAUGUAAAAACUCAUUAGGUGAAAACAAGCUAUGCUUUCCAAGGAGUAUCUUUCUGAGCACCCGCUCACCGGCUAUUGGGCAAAGUGGUUGUCACUCAGUAAAGAGAUUAGUAGCGGCCCUGAGAGAGAGUGACUAACAAACAACCUUCCCUCACCCUGGAGUAAACAGGACUUUUAGAGGGAAGGUUCUGGGGCAGUUUGUGGCCAAGACAGAAUUGAUUUGCCCUUGUGUCAGAGGUCAUCACUAUCAUGACAAUUGCCAUUUACCAACUGCCUCAUAUAGGACAGGUACAUUCAUUAUAUUAUUUCCAACCCUCACAAUAGCCCUGUGAAGUAGUUUCAUUCCCAUUUUACAAAGGGAGAAAUAGGUUCGUGGAAAACUGCCCAGGACCUCAGAGCUAGUAACUUCCACCCCGGUCUUCCUGCCAUGUCAUCUGUUCCCUGUCAUCAGUCAGCCAGUUUCAGAGUGCCCUUGGCCCUCCUGUGUUCCCGUCCUCUCUGUCAAUCAUCCAAACCAGAACCACUCAGAGCAUGGAGGACGCAGGCAGGAUGGAAGUCCUACAGUUCUAAAGCUCACACCCACAAUCGGGGCGGGAUCUGGGCUGGGACUAACCCUCUGUCCCUGCUUUUUCUUUUUUUCCGACAAUUUAUUAAAGCCUUAUUUUCUUUUCUAUUCUCUCAGUCCUGGGUUUCUGUUUAGUUGUGAUGAUAGAUAUCAUAUUUUUGGAACUUUUGAUCCCGUGGAGUACAGAUUUAGAAUUCAUGGGAGAUAAGGAAGCUAUAAAAUGUAGUGGGACUUGAAAUGCACCAAACGUGCCUUUUCAGUCUCAUUUACAGGCUCUCAGUCAACUUAUUUUGGAAUACUGAGGUCGGUGAUGUAGUCACUGCAUUGCUCAUGUAAUCACCAGAUUUUAUUUAGAGAACCAUAACGGGCAAAAUGGAAAGGGUACAAAUAUGUUGUUCUUUUUCAUUUCGAAUUUUUGAAAGAAAUUUUUUUGGAAAACUCUUUUUAACUUCCCUAAAUAUCACUUCCUUUAGGAUAAAUAUAUAGCUAUAAAAAUGAUACCUUGCAAACUUUUCUUUAUCAUGACCUUAAUCAAAGGAGAGUGAAUAAAUUAUUGCUCCACAGCUCCUCCUUUUAGAAAAUAGUUUCCAACCAGACAUGUUGUCUAUCUCACCACCAUAACCCCCUUCAUAUCUGGACAGGAAAUGCCCACCAACUACACAGCCUGGCUCCGGGGGAGAAAAGAAAGAAGGUUCGCAUGGAAUUCUGUCCCUGGGCUGAUCUUGUGUUUCUCCUAUGGCAUUUCUUUAUGCGUAAAUAAUGCCUGUUUACUUGCAGACUCUAACCUUUUGGUGAGUUCAAGGGGGAGAGGGGGUUAGAGCCACAUUUCUAUGCAUUUUCCUUAUGUUUCUGCUUCUGUGGAAAAGCCACCCAGUUCCAGCACUGGCACUCCCUGCCCAGGGGCCCUGCUUUCUUCGUGUCCCGCCUGUGGGCACACCGUCAGCACAGGCAGGUGGCAUAUUCAGCUCCAGCUCGUGUCAUCUCUGCUGUUGUUAUUGUGGUGCUUGCUACUUAGGAACGAAGACUUCCAGGGCAGGUCAGCUGGCUGCAGGGAGCUUUCAGGCUGUGUCCUUAGCAGUCACCUGACUAGCAGGCUACCUGUGAGAGUGUCUGCAGUUCACUGAGGACACCGCCUUCCCAGCUGCUGUAAACAAGUCCAAGUGACCCAUCUCAUUACUCAAACCAGGUCUCCUCAUGGCUAAGGUUCUUAGCAAACUGAGUUAUCUUAGACUUUAAAAGAAAAAGUUGGGGUCAGAAGAAAGCAGUUCCAGGGACCUACAUGCCCCACCACUGAGACCCAUUUCCUCAGGGAGGUCCGAUUGGCCUUCUCUGAGUCCGUUUGCCACCAGGCUGGCACAUCCUGCCAGUGGCUCUGGGUUGCUGCCCAGGCUCCCAGGCAGGAGUCCUCAGGCUCCCUUUGCAUAGCUUCUCUCAUGGUGGCCUGGGAAGCCUCAGGAGGAACAAGUCUCUUGAGAAGGCAGGCCCUGUUAACUAGGGUUUGGGUUUGCUUUUGCUCCCUGAGGCCCCAAGCUACCCUCUGCCCCAUAUAGUAGUCACCCUUGUCCUUAUCCCCAGGGGCUGAGAUACCCAGUGGAUGUCUGAAAUCGCAGAUAAUACCAAAACCCUACAUCUACUAUGUUUUUUCCUAUACAUACAUAACUAUAAUGAAAUUUAAUUCAUAAAUUAGGCACAAUAAGAGGUUAACAACAAUAACUAAUAAUAGAAGAUAAUUAUAAAAAUACGCUGUAAUAAAGGUUAUAUGAAUGUGGUCUCUCUCUCAAAGUAUACUAUUAUACGGUACUGACCUUCCUUCUUCUGAUGAUAUGAGGUGAUAAAAUGCCUAGGUGAUGAAUUGAAGUGAGUUGAAUGACCUAGGCGUUGUGACGUAGUGUUCCGCUGCCUCUGACCCUCUGACCAGUACAUCCAAAGGAGCGUCAUCUGCUUCGAGUGAUCCUGGAGCAUCAGGCCAUGGCCAUGUUGACGGUCAGUGUCAGGAGCAGACAGUGUGGGUGGGUGGGGAUCCUCAAUAGUUGAAUUGUUUAUUUCUGAAACAUUUUCGGACCACAGUUGACCAUGAGUAACUGAAACCACGGAGAGCGAACCCGAGGGUCAGGGGGAACACUGUGCUCUGUUCCUUGUUCCUUCUAACCCCCUGCGGCUAGUGUUCCUCCCUCCCACACAGACUCCUUACCUUGAGGCCGAAUGGGCCAGGGCCAAACCAGUUGCACAUUUCAGAGAGUGGUUUUGUAAGAGCCCCCAAGGAGGGCAGUCCGGGGCAACCUCCUCAAAGGGACAGGGCGACUUCUCCUGAAAGCCACGCAGUAGCUUCGCUGGCGGCCAGAGCCGCGGACAGUCAGACGCGUGAACAGUCAGACGCAAUGGGCAUCUCUGCUCUGCUAAACCCAUCUGCCUGCUUUCCCAUUUCCCCUCCAGGAUGCAAGGGAUUGUAUUUAUCUCACACUCCUCUGCCAUGUUUCUUGCAGAAAACUUGGAGUCAUUCUCCCAGAGGUGUGACCUUUUACUAUGUCCUGGGAAUGCUCUGAUGUGGGUGGAGGGGGGGGGGGGGAGGAGGGGGAGGAAGUAGAAGAGAAAGCAGUGCCUCUCAGCUGCCACUCCCACACCCAGGCGUGAUAAUUCUCAAUGAACCAGAGGAGGAGGGGCUGUGAUUUCCAGGAUGAGAGCGUUGGCCAGGCAGUUUGAGGUGAUCCUGAAGCUGUAGCUCGAAGGCCAUACAGCCUCUUGUCCACCAAACAUUACUGAGUCCCCGCAACAUGCCAGGAUUCUAGAGCUAAGAAGUGGGUGAAACCACUACUGCAAAGCCUGCGAGUUGAGAAUCUAAGGCAAGACCCUCAGGGCCAGUGAGGGUUCUGUGUUCAGGGCAGAUGUCCCCUGGCCCUGGCUACCCCCCCCAACACCCCCUUCCCCGGUCCCUGUGGGGGACUGACUGCUCCCUUUGCUGGUUUCUCCCCAGGGGUGGAGAGAGAAGGUUUAAGGAGCAAGCUUCCAGGAGGUGCUUCUCCGCAGGCAAGUCACGCUUGGGAGAAUUCCUUCUUGGGAGAAUUCCUUCGAGUCUCGAUUGGCCUUACACGUCCCCAAAUGUGCUUGCUCUUACAUACGCCCCCUUCCCCUAUGCAUGUUUAGUUUCUGAGCAGACAGACAGCCUGUGGAUGAGGAUCUUUAAGACAAUAGGGCGAUUCUUUUAUUGCCUUUGCUUUUCCUCUAAGUUCCUCUCUUCACUGUCUUUCCUUUUAUCCUGCCUCACUCUUGUCACCUCCCAGAAACCUUAGUGGCUCCUCCCCGCCUGCAGGA